This 466-nucleotide ribosomal RNA is filed under the name uncultured bacterium. RNAcentral's name for it is "partial 16S ribosomal RNA". It matches the Rfam family "Bacterial small subunit ribosomal RNA", at positions 28 to 507 of the family's 1533-position model. The record is from RNAcentral.
GACGAACGCUGGCGGCGUGCUUAACACAUGCAAGUCGAACGGAAAGGCCCUGCUUGCAGGGUACUCGAGUGGCGAACGGGUGAGUAACACGUGGGUGAUCUGCCCUGCACUUCGGGAUAAGCCUGGGAAACUGGGUCUAAUACCGGAUAGGAGCCAUUUUUAGUGUGAUGGUUGGAAAGUUUUUUUCGGUGUAGGAUGAGCUCGCGGCCUAUCAGCUUGUUGGUGGGGUAAUGGCCUACCAAGGCGGCGACGGGUAGCCGGCCUGAGAGGGUGGACGGCCACAUUGGGGCUGAGAUACGGCCCAGACUCCUACGGGAGGCAGCAGUGGGGAAUAUUGCACAAUGGGCGCAAGCCUGAUGCAGCGACGCCGCGUGGGGGAUGACGGCCUUCGGGUUGUAAACUCCUUUCGCUAGGGACGAAGCUUUUUGUGACGGUACCUAGAUAAGAAGCACCGGCUAACUACGUG